CAAGAAAAACCUCUAAGGCUAGGCUAAAACUGCCCGUACCGUAAACCGACACAGGAAGUCGAGAUGAGUAUUCUAAGGCGCUCGGGUGAGCCGCGGAGAAGGAACUAGGCAAAUUAACGCUGUAACUUCGGGAUAAGCGUACCGUCUUUGACGGUCUCAGUAAAUUGGUUCAACCAACUGUUUAGCAAAAACACAGGGCCCUGCAAAAUCGUAAGAUGACGUAUAGAGCCUGAUACCUGCCCGGUGCUGGAAGGUUAAGGAAGGAUGUUCGGCGCAAACCAAAGCUUUCGACUGAAGCCCCAGUAAACGGCGGCCGUAACUAUAACGGUCCUAAGGUAGCGAAAUUCCUUGUCGGGUAAGUUCCGACCUGCACGAAUGGUCUAAUGAGUUGAACACUGUCUCCUCCGCGAGCCCGGUGAAAUUGUAGUAUCGGUGAAGAUGCCGGUUACCCGCCACGGGACGAAAAGACCCCGUGAACCUUCACUACAGCUUUGCAUUGAUUUUGAGUAACAGAUGUGUAGAAUAGUUGGGACGCUACGAAGCCAUGCCGCCAGGUGUGGUGGAGCGGUCGUUGAAAUACCAACCUUCUGUUACUUAGAGUCUAAUCCCGAAAGGGAGACAUUGCAUGGUGGGUAGUUUGACUGGGGUGGUCGCCUCCUAAAAAGUAACGGAGGCUCGCAAGGGUGCCCUCAGCAUGGUUGGUAAUCAUGCGUAGAGCGUAUUAGUAUAAGGGCGCUUGACUGUGAGACUGACAAGUCGAGCAGGUGCGAAAGCAGGCUAAAGUGAUCCGGUGGUUCCGCAUGGAAGGGCCAUCGCUCAAAGGGUAAAAGGUACUCCGGAUAACAGGCUGAUCUCCCCCAAGAGCUCAUAUCGACGGGGAGGUUUGGCACCUCGAUGUCGGUUCGUCACAUCCUGGGGCUGGAGAAGGUCCCAAGGGUUCGGCUGUUCGCCGAUUAAAGUGGCACGUGAACUGGGUUCAGAACGUCGCAAGACAGUUCGGUCUCUAUCUGUGGUGGGCGUUAGUAAAUUGAGAAGACAUGACCUUAGUACGAGAGGACCGGGUCGUACACACCGCUGGUGUAUCUGUUGUGCCGCCAGGUGCAGUGCAGAGUAGCUAUGUGUGGCAAGGAUAAGCGCUGAAAGCAUCUAAGCGCGAAACCUUCUUCAAGAUGAGUUUACUUUUAAGGGUCGUAGUAGACGACUACGUUGAUAGGCUAUAGGUGUAAAGCUAGUAAUAGCAAAGCCGAGUAGUACUAAUUGCCCGUAAGCUUU
RNAcentral lists this ribosomal RNA (1272 nucleotides) under metagenome. Its description in RNAcentral is "bacterial LSU rRNA". It matches the Rfam family "Bacterial large subunit ribosomal RNA", at positions 1609 to 2925 of the family's 2925-position model. The record is from RNAcentral.